This 525-nucleotide ribosomal RNA is filed under the name uncultured bacterium. RNAcentral describes it as "bacterial SSU rRNA". It matches the Rfam family "Bacterial small subunit ribosomal RNA", at positions 355 to 896 of the family's 1533-position model. The record is from RNAcentral.
UAGGGAAUAUUGCACAAUGGGCGAAAGCCUGAUGCAGCAACGCCGCGUGCGCGAAGAAGGUCUUCGGAUCGUAAAGCGCUUUUCUGGGAGAUGAGAAAGGACAGUAUCCCAGGAAUAAGUCUCGGCUAACUACGUGCCAGCAGCCGCGGUAACACGUAGGAGGCGAGCGUUAUCCGGAUUCACUGGGCGUAAAGCGCGUGCAGGCGGUUCGGUAAGUUGGGCGUGAAAUCUCCCGGCUCAACUGGGAGAGGUCGUUCAAUACUACCGGACUUGAGAGCGAUAGAGGAAAAUGGAAUUCCGGUGUAGUGGUGAAAUGCGUAGAUAUCGGGAGGAACACCCAGUGGCGAAAGCGAUUUUCUGGAUCGUUUCUGACGCUCAGACGCGAAAGCUAGGGUAGCAAACGGGAUUAGAGACCCCGGUAGUCCUAGCCGUAAACGAUGUGAACUUGGCGUCGGUGGCUUAAACUCCAUCGGUCCGAACCCAACGCGAUAAGUUCACCGCCUGGGGACUACGACCGCAAGGUUA